UGUGUGCCCUCUGUGUCACAUCCUUAGGGUACCUCACGCUACCUCUGCUGUGGUGGUGUAGACUGCCCUCUGAAGCUCUCUGUACCCUUGGAUGAUAGAGGAAGCCUAGAUUUAACUUUUAGAGGGCUAAAGUAGGGUGAGAUGAUUCCUUCUUUUGGUUUCUCCAAAACUCAUAAGAGAAGACAGCGACGAUGUCAGCUCAAUGCUGUGGAGCCAUGUGGGAUAUCUUCAAGAGCCAGCACUCAGUAGAAAAGUGCUGAGAUGCCGACGUGCAAGGCACAGGGUGUUCC
This 290-nucleotide long non-coding RNA is filed under the name Dromaius novaehollandiae (emu). RNAcentral describes it as "lncRNA (ENSDNVG00000002799.1)". Lineage: Eukaryota; Metazoa; Chordata; Aves; Casuariiformes; Dromaiidae. The record is from RNAcentral.